RNAcentral lists this ribosomal RNA (473 nucleotides) under uncultured organism. RNAcentral's name for it is "partial 16S ribosomal RNA". It matches the Rfam family "Bacterial small subunit ribosomal RNA", at positions 332 to 797 of the family's 1533-position model. The record is from RNAcentral.
UACACUCCUACGGGAGGCAGCAGUGGGGAAUAUUGCACAAUGGGCGCAAGCCUGAUGCAGCCAUGCCGCGUGUAUGAAGAAGGCCUUCGGGUUGUAAAGUACUUUCAGCGGGGAGGAAGGCAAUACGGUUAAUAACCGUGUUGAUUGACGUUACCCGCAGAAGAAGCACCGGCUAACUCCGUGCCAGCAGCCGCGGUAAUACGGAGGGUGCAAGCGUUAAUCGGAAUUACUGGGCGUAAAGCGCACGCAGGCGGUCUGUCAAGUCGGAUGUGAAAUCCCCGGGCUCAACCUGGGAACUGCAUUCGAAACUGGCAGGCUUGAGUCUUGUAGAGGGGGGUAGAAUUCCAGGUGUAGCGGUGAAAUGCGUAGAGAUCUGGAGGAAUACCGGUGGCGAAGGCGGCCCCCUGGACAAAGACUGACGCUCAGGUGCGAAAGCGUGGGGAGCAAACAGGAUUAGAAACCCGAGUAGUCCC